RNAcentral lists this ribosomal RNA (216 nucleotides) under Campeiostachys nutans. Its description in RNAcentral is "Elymus nutans partial small subunit ribosomal RNA". The stretch from base 39 to 216 matches the Rfam family "Eukaryotic small subunit ribosomal RNA", at positions 684 to 864 of the family's 1831-position model. The record is from RNAcentral. Lineage: Eukaryota; Viridiplantae; Streptophyta; Magnoliopsida; Poales; Poaceae.
GGGUUCUACCGUCGGUCGGGCUAACAAGUCUGUACUGGUGUGUAGAAUUUCUACCUUCUGGGGAACUAUCAUGUUAUUAAUUUAGCGUGGUGGGAAACCAGGACCUUUACCUUGAAAAAAUUAGAGUGUUCAAAGCAGGCUUACGUCUGAAUACAUUAGCAUGGGAUAAUAGAAUAUGACAUUGGUCUUAUUUUGUUGGUUUCUAGGGCCAAAGUA